Long non-coding RNA from Perognathus longimembris pacificus (Pacific pocket mouse), 541 nucleotides. RefSeq lists it as uncharacterized. The record is from RefSeq and is a predicted model, not a curated record. Lineage: Eukaryota; Metazoa; Chordata; Mammalia; Rodentia; Heteromyidae. The transcript has 3 exons.
GGAGUGAGGAACUCCAGCACCUUCUCUUUUGGCUGGGCUCUGACUGCUGUCCUCUGGCGUGGUGGCCAGGGCCUUGGUGAGCCCGGGUACCAGGCUGAGGCUCGAAGGACAGACCUCUCAGCAUGAAGUGGCCAAAGGUAGAGAAGAGCUAUCCGAUGGCUCCUCCCUGCAGGGAAAGAGCAGUCCUCUCUCGAGCAACGUUCCGGCUGGCCUUGGAGUCUCCCAUAGUUUGGAGGUGGAUCCGACUGGCUGAGUCCACCUGUCCUGCAGCAGGCCCCGCAGGUGUUUUUGACCUCAGAGGGCUGCAGAACCUCCUCAGAGCGCCAUUUUUGAACGUGCCACUGUGAAGAGACCAUGUUGACUCGGCUCAACCUCUGGACCUACAGCUCCACGCCCAUCCCUCCAGGUGUGACCCAUGCUCCCUGCCCUAGGGGACUCUGCAGGGCCAGCUUGGCCACGCCAGGCUGUGGAGGCUGGGGGCGGGAGCCACGGGAGCCAGCCCUCCUCGAGUGUUCAGGCCGGGCUGGUGAAUCACUUUCCC